Myotis brandtii (Brandt's bat) is the source of this 777-nucleotide long non-coding RNA. RefSeq lists it as uncharacterized. The record is from RefSeq and is a predicted model, not a curated record. NCBI's taxonomy places the organism in Eukaryota, Metazoa, Chordata, Mammalia, Chiroptera, Vespertilionidae. The transcript has 3 exons.
UCCCGGGCAAGGGGAAACACACACGUUCAGUAAGGGAGCGUGGCUGGCGCUGGGUCUAGUCACCCCAGUUUACUGCUUGUUUUCCGGGGAUCCCAGUGGUGGGAGAGUGAGCCAUCCAAAGCGCCGCGAUGGAAACCUUCUAGAAACCAUGGAAGAUAAAUUAAAUGAUGGUUGCUGUUGUAAGCCACUGAAUUUGGGGGAUAUUUGUUAUGCAGCAAUAUAUAUCCGCCAGACCUACUAUGCAUCAGACACUGCUUUACAUGUUGGGGUCCAAGAUGAACAAGACAGACCUUGCCUUCCCGGAACUUUGCAUUCUUCGGUGGGGAGACUGACAAUAGGCAGCUUACUAGCAGACAAGUCCGAGGUACCCCUGAGCCCGGCUGAGCUCUGAGAACUGUGAACUUCCUUAUCCACAGCCAAGAUGGAAAAUGGCUUUUAUAGUUGGGCUCCAGGUAAAAGCCUUCACAACUGUAAUUCAGUUCUUGUUUUCCCAUCGUGGGCAGGGAGCCAGCCAUGUGAAAAAGUAUCUGCCUUGUGCCCAGCCUCACACUGAGGUCAAGACCCAGAGAUGAAUCAGAUACAGUUCCCUCCGUCAGGGAGCUUAGAGUCAGGUGGGGACAGAGGGGAGGCAUCGGGUUGCCUCUCCGGCUCAGCACCGUUCCCUGUCUUCCCUCAGUCUGUGAGUUUCUCACAGUAGGAUGUCCAAUGUGGCUGACACUGACACAGAGGGCAACCCCUGACCUAAGCUGGGUGCAGCAGGUAAAUAGGGUACGGAAA